This 405-nucleotide ribosomal RNA is filed under the name uncultured bacterium. Its description in RNAcentral is "partial 16S ribosomal RNA". It matches the Rfam family "Bacterial small subunit ribosomal RNA", at positions 29 to 525 of the family's 1533-position model. The record is from RNAcentral.
AUUGAACGCUGGCGGCAGGCCUAACACAUGCAAGUCGAACGAGUGGCGGACGGGUGAGUAAUGUCUGGGAAACUGCCUGAUGGAGGGGGAUAACUACUGGAAACGGUAGCUAAUACCGCAUACCAUCGGAUGUGCCCAGAUGGGAUUAGCUAGUAGGUGGGGUAAAGGCUCACCUAGGCGACGAUCCCUAGCUGGUCUGAGAGGAUGACCGGCAACACUGGAACUGAGACACGUGCCAGACUCCUAGGGGAGGCAGCAGUGGGGAAGAUUGCACAAUGGGCGCAAGCCUGAUGCAGCCAUGCGGGGUGUAUGAAGAAGGCCUUGGGGUUGUAAAGUACUUUCAGCGGGGAGGCGUUACCCGCAGAAGAAGCACCGGCGAACUCGGUGCCAGCAGCCGCGGUAAAC